Molecule: ribosomal RNA, 497 nt
Filed under: uncultured bacterium
Lineage: Bacteria
Description: partial 16S ribosomal RNA
Rfam family: Bacterial small subunit ribosomal RNA
Source: RNAcentral
GAUGAACGCUGGCGGCGUGCCUAAUACAUGCAAGUCGAACGCUGAAGCUUGGUGCUUGCACCGAGCGGAUGAGUUGCGAACGGGUGAGUAACGCGUAGGUAACCUGCCUCUUAGCGGGGGAUAACUAUUGGAAACGAUAGCUAAUACCGCAUAAAAGUCGAUAUCGCAUGAUAUUGAUUUGAAAGGUGCAAAUGCAUCACUAAGAGAUGGACCUGCGUUGUAUUAGCUAGUUGGUGAGGUAACGGCUCACCAAGGCGACGAUACAUAGCCGACCUGAGAGGGGGAUCGGCCACACUGGGACUGAGACACGGCCCAGACUCCUACGGGAGGCAGCAGUAGGGAGUCUUCGGCAAUGGGGGCAACCCUGACCGAGCAACGCCGCGGGAGUGAAGAAGGUUUUCGGAUCGUAAAGCUCUGUUGUAAGAGAAGAACGAGUGUGAGAGUGGAAAGUUCACACUGUGACGGUAACUGACCAGAAAGGGACGGCUAACUACGUG